Molecule: ribosomal RNA, 454 nt
Filed under: uncultured organism
Description: bacterial SSU rRNA
Rfam family: Bacterial small subunit ribosomal RNA
Source: RNAcentral
GGAGGCGUGCCUAAUACAUGCAAGUCGAACGAAUCUUCUUCGGAAGAUGAGUGGCGAACGGGUGAGUAAUACAUAGGUAACCUGCCCCUGUGCGGGGGAUAACAGGAGGAAACUCCUGCUAAUACCGCAUAGCCAUGAGCACCGCAUGGAGCUCAUGCCAAAUAUCCUUCAGGGGAUAGCGCAGGGAUGGACCUAUGGCGCAUUAGCUAGUUGGCGGGGCAACGGCCCACCAAGGCAACGAUGCGUAGCCGGCCUGAGAGGGCGGACGGCCACAUUGGGACUGAGACACGGCCCAGACUCCUACGGGAGGCAGCAGUAGGGAAUUUUCGGCAAUGGGGGAAACCCUGACCGAGCAACGCCGCGUGAGCGAAGAAGGCCUUCGGGUCGUAAAGCUCUGUUGUAAAGGAAGAACGUCGCAUGCAGGAAAUGGUGUGCGAGUGACGGUACUUUACCA